Molecule: ribosomal RNA, 293 nt
Filed under: uncultured bacterium
Lineage: Bacteria
Description: partial 16S ribosomal RNA
Rfam family: Bacterial small subunit ribosomal RNA
Source: RNAcentral
GUGUCAGCAGCCGCGGUAAUACAGAGGUCACAAGCGUUAUCCGGAUUUAUUGGGCGUAAAGCGUUUCGUAGGUGGGUUUAUAAGUUAUUUUUCAAAGACCAGGGCUCAACCUUGGGAAGGGAGAUAAUACUGUAAGUCUUGAUUUUUGGUGGGGUAUCUGGAACUGAUGGUGUAGUAGUGAAAUACGUUGAUAUCAUCAGGAACUCCAAGGGCGAAGGCAGGAUACUAACCAAUUAAUGACACUGAGGAACGACAGCUAGGGGAGCGAAAGGGAUUAGAUACCCUCGUAGUCC